AUUGAACGCUGGCGGCAUGCUUUACACAUGCAAGUCGGACGGCAGCGGGGUAGUGCUUGCACUACUGCCGGCGAGUGGCGAACGGGUGAGUAAUAUAUUGGAACGUACCGAGUAAUGGGGGAUAACCAAUCGAAAGAUUGGCUAAUACCGCAUACGCUCUGAGGAGGAAAGCAGGGGACCUUCGGGCCUUGCGUUAUUCGAGCGGCCAAUAUCUGAUUAGCUAGUUGGUGGGGUAAGGGCCUACCAAGGCGACGAUCAGUAGCGGGUCUGAGAGGAUGAUCCGCAACACUGGGACUGAGACACGGCCCAGACUCCUACGGGAGGCAGCAGUGGGGAAUUUUGGACAAUGGGCGCAAGCCGGAUCCAGCCAUGCCGCGUGUCUGAAGAAGGCCUUCGGGUUGUAAAGGACUUUUGUUAGGGAAGAAAAAGGAGCGGUUAAUACCCGUUUCUGCUGACGGUACCUAAAGAAUAAGCACCGGCUAACUACGUG
RNAcentral lists this ribosomal RNA (490 nucleotides) under uncultured bacterium. RNAcentral describes it as "partial 16S ribosomal RNA". It matches the Rfam family "Bacterial small subunit ribosomal RNA", at positions 30 to 507 of the family's 1533-position model. The record is from RNAcentral.